Molecule: ribosomal RNA, 661 nt
Filed under: uncultured bacterium
Lineage: Bacteria
Description: bacterial SSU rRNA
Rfam family: Bacterial small subunit ribosomal RNA
Source: RNAcentral
AGAGUUUGAUCAUGGCUCAGAUUGAACGCUGGCGGCAUGCUUAAUACAUGCAAGUCGAACGGUAACAGGUCCUUCGGGAUGCUGACGAGUGGCGGACGGGUGAGUAAUGCAUAGGAAUCUGCCCAGUAGUAGGGGACAACCUGAGGAAACUCAGGCUAAUACCGUAUAAGUCCUACGGGAGAAAGGGGGCCUCUUCUUGAAAGCUCUCGCUAUUGGAUGAGCCUAUGUCGGAUUAGCUUGUUGGUGGGGUAACGGCCUACCAAGGCGACGAUCCGUAGCUGGUCUGAGAGGACGAUCAGCCACACUGGGACUGAGACACGGCCCAGACUCCUACGGGAGGCAGCAGUAGGGAAUAUUGGACAAUGGGCGAAAGCCUGAUCCAGCAAUGCCGCGUGUGUGAAGAAGGCCUGCGGGUUGUAAAGCACUUUCAGUUGGGAAGAAAAUCUUUAGGUUAAUAUCCUAAAGUCUUGACGUUACCAACAGAAGAAGCACCGGCUAACUCUGUGCCAGCAGCCGCGGUAAUACAGAGGGUGCGAGCGUUAAUCGGAAUUACUGGGCGUAAAGCGUGCGUAGGUGGUUAAGUCAGUCGGAUGUGAAAGCCCAAGGCUUAACCUUGGAACGGCAUUCGAUACUGCCUAGCUAGAGUACAGUAGAGGGAAGC